This 277-nucleotide unclassified non-coding RNA is filed under the name Hevea brasiliensis (rubber tree). The record is from RNAcentral. Lineage: Eukaryota; Viridiplantae; Streptophyta; Magnoliopsida; Malpighiales; Euphorbiaceae.
UGCACUUAUAGAUGAAAAGAUACUUUGCAUGCAUGGUGGAAUUUCGCCAGAGCUAAAAAGUUUGGACCUAAUAAACGAAAUUGAGCGGCCAGCGGAGAUUCCAGAUGGUGGAUUGUUGUGUGAUCUGUUGUGGGCUGAUCCUGAUCCUAGAAUUAAGGGUUGGUCAGAUAGUGAUCGAGGUGUUUCUUGUACUUUUGGACCGGAUGUAGUUGCUGAAUUUUUGGCUAAGAAUGAGUUAGACCUCAUCUGCCGGGGUCAUCAGGUGGUGGAAGAUGGA